CCGCCUGUGGCUGAGAGAUUUUUUAACAGAGUUAGCAAAUCGCUAAUUACAAUGGCCACUCCACGGCGGCGGCUUCUUCUUCUCCUCCUCCUCCUCUUCGUUUUUUCAGAUUCAUUAGUUAGCACGGCACGCAGCCAAGGAGUGGGGAUAAACUACGGCCAAAUCGCAAAUAACCUCCCGGCCCCGUCGCGCGUGGUCCACCUCCUCAACUCCCUCAACAUAACCCGAGUCAAGCUCUACGACGCCGACCCCAUCGUCCUGUCAGCAUUCGCCUCGUCGCCGGUCGAAUUCGUGAUCGGACUAGGCAACGAGCACCUACAGCAGAUGACCGAUCCGUCCCUCGCCCAAGCCUGGAUCCAAACCCACGUCCAACCCUACAUCUCCCGCACCAAAAUCAACUGCAUAACCGUCGGGAACGAAAUAUUAACCGGCAACGACUCCCAACUAAUAUCGAACCUCCUCCCUGCAAUGGAGACCGUUAGUGGGGCCCUCGUGAAUCUCGGUUUAAGUGAUAAAAUUUACGUCACGACCGCUCACUCGUACGGAGUCUUGAGCAACUCGUUUCCGCCUUCUUCCGGAACCUUCCGCCAGGAUUUGGUGCCGUAUAUUCAACCCAUUCUUGAAUUUCAUGCAAGGACGAAAUCGCCCUUCCUUAUAAAUGCGUACCCGUUUUUCGCGUAUAAAGACAAUCCGGGAGAGGUGUCGCUCGAUUACGUGCUCUUUCGGCCGAAUGCUGGCUCGAUCGACCCUGUUACGAAUUUGCAUUACGAUAAUAUGUUGUACGCGCAGAUCGAUGCGGUUUAUUCGGCGAUUCGAUUGUUGGGGCACACCGAUAUACAGGUUAAGGUUUCGGAAACGGGGUGGCCUUCGAAGGGGGAUGUGAAUGAAGUGGGGGCCACACCAGAAAACGCUCAGUUGUACAACGGGAAUUUGAUUAACAGAAUAGCGUUGAACGAGGGGACUCCAGCGAAGCCAUCGGUGCCGAUCGAUGUGUUCUUUUUUGCGCUAUUUAACGAGGAUUUGAAGCCGGGGCCCGCUUCCGAGAGGAACUACGGGUUGUAUUAUCCGGACGGUACCCCAGUGUAUAAUAUUGGGUUGCAGGGUUUUCUUCCGCGAAUGAGUUAUUCGUUUUCCGCGAAAAAUGUUAUACUUCUAUUCAAUUUCUUCGUUCCGGUAGCUUUAUUUUUAUGUUUGUCAUAGCUCGAUAUUUAUUUAACUGGUGGCAACGAUAGAGAAGGGAGUUCGGAAAUGUCGAGGUUCUUCAGUGGGGAAAUUUUGUAAGGUAAAGAUGUCGAACUAGAUGUGAAGAGAGAGAUUUCGCCAUGCAGCUCAGAGCAGAUUUUCAUACUUGUAGAUUUUUUAGAUAUUUUUAGAUUUAAUAGCUGAUUCAUUGGAUAGAGAUUAGAAAAUAAAAAAAAAGCGUGUUUCUCAUUCGGGUAGAAAGAGUUGUAUAAUAUUAUUAUUGCAGUUCAAUGUAUUUGAUUGUGUUCUUCAUACAA
Non-coding RNA from Erythranthe guttata (spotted monkey flower), 1499 nucleotides. The record is from RefSeq and is a predicted model, not a curated record. NCBI's taxonomy places the organism in Eukaryota, Viridiplantae, Streptophyta, Magnoliopsida, Lamiales, Phrymaceae.